GAACACGAACCACGACGAUGUGUUGCGGAGGCAGGACGUGCAUGCUCUGCACGUGCUUGAUCCUGGUCGUCAUCCUCAUCGGUCUCCUCUUCGGCUUCGGCGUCUUCAAGGACGGUUUCCACAAGAUCAAGGACAUCUUCCACGCCUGCGAUCCCUCCGCCGGUGAUGCAUGCGGAAGAAGACGAUUCUCCGGCGUCAGAGCUCCGCCUCCGCCCGGUUCUCCCUUCUAGCCUUCGCCGAUCUCGAUCCCGUUUCUAGGGUUUGGUGUCUCGUCUCUUCGAUUCCGUCGAAAUUGGGAUUUCGUCUCUGGAUAUUGUGGAAUGAUGCGUGAACGAACAGACAGUACGGAUGAUAGCCAAUGAAUUCAUACCCAACCGCCUGCAAGAAUGCAACUUAUCGUCGAUGGUUUUGGAUUUGAUUGAAUAAUGAUUACCGACAGAAAAGCUGCUUUCUUUAUUAUAAAAAAAAAAAGCCAACAAUUAUCCAAAAACAUGAAAAUGUGUCGUAUUACCAUUUUUAUUCCUAAAUACUUGUAUAAUGUGACUUCAACCUUAUAGUAUGGAACUAAAUUCGAUAUUGGAAUAGAUUUG
This is an RNA transcript of Tarenaya hassleriana, 590 nucleotides long. RefSeq lists it as uncharacterized. The transcript has 2 exons. The record is from RefSeq and is a predicted model, not a curated record. NCBI's taxonomy places the organism in Eukaryota, Viridiplantae, Streptophyta, Magnoliopsida, Brassicales, Cleomaceae.